RNAcentral lists this ribosomal RNA (547 nucleotides) under uncultured Megasphaera sp. Its description in RNAcentral is "bacterial SSU rRNA". It matches the Rfam family "Bacterial small subunit ribosomal RNA", at positions 8 to 521 of the family's 1533-position model. Lineage: Bacteria; Bacillati; Bacillota; Negativicutes; Veillonellales; Veillonellaceae. The record is from RNAcentral.
AGAGUUUGAUCCUGGCUCAGGACGAACGCUGGCGGCGUGCUUAACACAUGCAAGUCGAACGAGAGCGUAGAGAAAGCUUGCUUUUUCUACAAUCUAGUGGCAAACGGGUGAGUAACGCGUAAACAACCUGCCCUACGGAUGGGGACAACAGCUGGAAACGGCUGCUAAUACCGAAUACGUUCCGAAAGUCGCAUGACUGUCGGAAGAAAGGAUGGCCUCUAUUUAUAAGCUAUCGCCGGAGGAGGGGUUUGCGUCUGAUUAGCUAGUUGGAGGGGUAACGGCCCACCAAGGCGACGAUCAGUAGCCGGUCUGAGAGGAUGAACGGCCACAUUGGAACUGAGACACGGUCCAGACUCCUACGGGAGGCAGCAGUGGGGAAUCUUCCGCAAUGGGCGAAAGCCUGACGGAGCAACGCCGCGUGAGUGAAGACGGCCUUCGGGUUGUAAAGCUCUGUUAUACGGGACGAAUAAUCUUGUGGUUAAUACCCAUGAGAAGUGACGGUACCGUAAGAGAAAGCCACGGCUAACUACGUGCCAGCAGCCGCGGU